This 354-nucleotide ribosomal RNA is filed under the name uncultured bacterium. Its description in RNAcentral is "bacterial SSU rRNA". It matches the Rfam family "Bacterial small subunit ribosomal RNA", at positions 917 to 1269 of the family's 1533-position model. The record is from RNAcentral.
GGACCCGCACAAGUAGUGGAGCAUGUGGUUUAAUUCGAAGAUACGCGCAGAACCUUACCAACACUUGACAUGUUCGUCGCGACUUUAAGAGAUUAAAGUUUUCGGUUCGGCCGGACGAAACACAGGUGCUGCAUGGCUGUCGUCAGCUCGUGUCGUGAGAUGUUGGUUAAGUCCCGCAACGAGCGCAACCCCUACCUUUAGUUGCCACCAUUAAGUUGGGCACUUUAAAGGAACUGCCAGUGAUAAGCUGGAGGAAGGUGGGGAUGACGUCAAGUCCUCAUGGCCCUUACGUGUUGGGCUACACACGUGCUACAAUGGCACUUACAGUGGGAAGCUAAGACGCGAGUCCAAGCU